CCCUUAGAUGUUCUGGGCUGCACGCGCGCUACACUGAAGCUAUCAACACGUUUUCCCUCCCUGAGAAGGGCGGGUAACCUUUUGAAUCAGCUUCGUGGUAGGGAUCGGGGCUUGCAAUUGUUCCCCGUGAACCAGGAAUUCCUAGUAGACGCGAGUCAUAAGCUCGCAUCGAUUAAGUCCCUGCCCUUUGUACACACCGCCCGUCGCUACUACCGAUUGAACGUUUUAGUGAGGCAUUUGGACCGACGCAUCUCAGUUCAACCGCUGGUUUGUGUUGGAAAGACUUCCAAACUUGAGCGUUUAGAGGAAGUAAAAGUCGUAACA
RNAcentral lists this ribosomal RNA (324 nucleotides) under uncultured eukaryote. RNAcentral's name for it is "partial 18S ribosomal RNA". It matches the Rfam family "Eukaryotic small subunit ribosomal RNA", at positions 1470 to 1796 of the family's 1831-position model. The record is from RNAcentral.